UACCUUUCUUCUCUCUUUGUCUUCCUUAAUUCUCUUUCUAGACUCUUGUCCUAAAAUCGGACUUGUCCUUCCUAUUUUUGGACUUGUCCUAAUAAGAGAAAAAAGAGACUAAUUGGACAAUAGGGAGAGGUGUUGGGAAUAGUGUCCCAAAGCCAAUCGUCAGUCUGUUGACAGUUGUGCUCAUUUUUGUAUAUGUACAUGAAUUAU
This 207-nucleotide long non-coding RNA is filed under the name Elaeis guineensis (African oil palm). RNAcentral describes it as "long non-coding RNA (EGUI_LNC082476)". Lineage: Eukaryota; Viridiplantae; Streptophyta; Magnoliopsida; Arecales; Arecaceae. The record is from RNAcentral.